GUGGGUCUAGUUCUCAUUCCAUUGUGGUAUCAGGACUAUGUUAUGUGAAUGUUGUUACACAAUAUUGUGUUACUCAUCUGUAUAACCUAGCUCUGAUACCAUGAACAAAAUUAAAUCUACGACCCAU
Molecule: non-coding RNA, 127 nt
Organism: Malus domestica (apple)
Lineage: Eukaryota; Viridiplantae; Streptophyta; Magnoliopsida; Rosales; Rosaceae
Product: microRNA MIR1511
Source: RefSeq, marked provisional